This is a long non-coding RNA of Lepidothrix coronata (blue-crowned manakin), 258 nucleotides long. RefSeq lists it as uncharacterized. The record is from RefSeq and is a predicted model, not a curated record. Lineage: Eukaryota; Metazoa; Chordata; Aves; Passeriformes; Pipridae. The transcript is spliced from 3 exons.
CGAAGCUCCCCCCCUCUCACUCCUUUGCACGCCCACCAGAGGCCGCCUGGGAAGGGGAGCCCCGCGCCACACGGAGGUUCCAGCAGGUGCAAGUACAGAAUAUGUUUAAGUAUAGGCUUGCACACUGAGACUGUGAAAUGUCCUCUCCAGGGCCAUGAAGACACUUCACCUAAAAUUAGGUCUCCUUGGAGAAUUUGACUUGUUACUGGAAGCGAAAUGCUUUAUCAAAAAUAAACAAAGCCAAAACAAAGAAAAGAA